GGAGAGUGUCUUUUCUGGUAAUGGCUCUAUCAGUUCACAUUUAGCCAAGAUAUCAGAUGGAGGGACUCCAGCAAUGAGGUUUGUCUCAAGUUUUGGUCUACCCCUAGUAAGCUUUUCGGAGACUUUAACUGAGGAUCCGAGGGUGUUAGGUGAAGUACCUGGGACAACGUCGUCUUUGAAUCUUUCAGCUUGCAAGCAGAAUUCUAUCCACUGAUGCACUACUGGUGAUGG
This 231-nucleotide unclassified non-coding RNA is filed under the name Hevea brasiliensis (rubber tree). Lineage: Eukaryota; Viridiplantae; Streptophyta; Magnoliopsida; Malpighiales; Euphorbiaceae. The record is from RNAcentral.